This is a small nucleolar RNA of Dendrobium catenatum, 115 nucleotides long. RefSeq annotates it as small nucleolar RNA Z278. The record is from RefSeq and is a predicted model, not a curated record. NCBI's taxonomy places the organism in Eukaryota, Viridiplantae, Streptophyta, Magnoliopsida, Asparagales, Orchidaceae. The transcript has a single exon.
ACCCAUGAUGCUUUGUUCCAAUUAGUGAGCUUUAGCAUGUUCCGAGACCCUGUUUGUCAGGGAGAACCCCUUGGGACUGCUAAAUUAAAAUGAUCUUAUUGGUAUUUGCUGAGGU